AGAAAUGGCUCUGGUUAAUACCUGGGGUCGAUGACGGUACCGGAAGAAUAAGGACCGGCUAACUACGUGCCAGCAGCCGCGGUAAUACGUAGGGUCCAAGCGUUAAUCGGAAUUACUGGGCGUAAAGCGUGCGCAGGCGGUUGUGCAAGACCGAUGUGAAAUCCCCGAGCUUAACUUGGGAAUUGCAUUGGUGACUGCACGGCUAGAGUGUGUCAGAGGGGGGUAGAAUUCCACGUGUAGCAGUGAAAUGCGUAGAGAUGUGGAGGAAUACCGAUGGCGAAGGCAGCCCCCUGGGAUAACACUGACGCUCAUGCACGAAAGCGUGGGGAGCAAACAGGAUUAGAUACCCUGGUAGUCCACGCCCUAAACGAUGUCAACUAGUUGUUGGGGAUUCAUUUCCUUAGUAACGUAGCUAACGCGUGAAGUUGACCGCCUGGGGAGUACGGUCGCAAGAUUAAAACUCAAAUGAAUUGACGGA
This 478-nucleotide ribosomal RNA is filed under the name uncultured bacterium. RNAcentral's name for it is "bacterial SSU rRNA". It matches the Rfam family "Bacterial small subunit ribosomal RNA", at positions 446 to 917 of the family's 1533-position model. The record is from RNAcentral.